AAAAAUAGAAAGCUUUUGAGCUCUCUCUUUCUCAGGCCUCAAAUCUGGCCAUGGUCCGGCCUAGGGUUCCAGCGUGCCUCCGUCGUAGCUCCGCCACGGGCGGCGGCCAAAGGCACAAAAUCGUACCUUUUUGGUCCCUUUUUGAAGCCGGUUGCCUCUAGGACACAAAUUCAAGGCCGAAUCUCGUCAAAGAUGAGCCUAAACCUAAAAAACGAGGAGAAAACACUCGUCCUCUCCUCCUCCGACGCGACGCAGGUAAGUUUUUUCUUUUCUUGUUAUUUUAUUAACUAUUAUUUAGUAUAUGAAAAAAAAUAGAAAUAAAAAAAUGAAUAGAAAAGAAAGUGAAUCUAAAAAAAAAACUUCGAAAAAUCUCUUUCUUUUUUCUUUCUCCAAAUGUUUGUCCAAAAAAAGAACCCCGAUUUCAUACUUUCUAUGGCUUUUAUAGCCAUCUUUUACAAAGUUUUUUUAUCUAUUUUUUUGCUUGUCAUUUCUCUGCAGGUGUCAGUGCAAGUGGUCAACAUGACAGCGACGGUGGCAAACACGCGACGGUGGCAGAAGGGCAGUUGGCCAGAAGGCCCUAAGUGCAACGCACCUAAGGUUAGGGUUUCUCUUUUUUUGUUUGAAAAUGGGUUACCGGGCUAGGCUUAAAUUAGGCUUAUUGGGCUGGUGGGUUAGGUCUAGUUGGUUUGGGUUUUGGGCGUGUAAUGGGUUAUUGGGUAGGUUUUGGGGCCCGGCCUAAAAUUGGGCCUUGUACAGACCCAUUUAAUGUUGAUGCAUGUGCAUGAAUGUUUCAGCCGAAUUUAUUACUCAAGAUGAACAUACUUUAGCUUAAGACUUAAGUAUGUAUGUACGGUUCAUGUACGGUUCAUGGGUGAAGGAAUGUGAUGAUUCAAACAUGCUUUGAAUUGAAGAAAUGCAUGGAUGGCACUAAAAGGAGGUGCAUGGACGUCCAUUAAGGGUAUAUGACCAAAUCGGCUAAAUUCUUCAACUUUGAAGACACAUUUACUACAUGUGAAUUAUGAUCAUUCUAGAAACUACAUUUAUGGGCGAAUGUUGGCCAUUCAUCUACCUAGUUCUUUUUAUAAAUUUCGGUUGAUGUCAUUGUUGUAAGAAAGAG
Molecule: long non-coding RNA, 1117 nt
Filed under: Gossypium barbadense (sea-island cotton)
Lineage: Eukaryota; Viridiplantae; Streptophyta; Magnoliopsida; Malvales; Malvaceae
Description: long non-coding RNA (GBAR_LNC016687)
Source: RNAcentral